RNAcentral lists this long non-coding RNA (208 nucleotides) under Hordeum vulgare. RNAcentral's name for it is "long non-coding RNA (HVUL_LNC021009)". The record is from RNAcentral. Lineage: Eukaryota; Viridiplantae; Streptophyta; Magnoliopsida; Poales; Poaceae.
AACAAAAACAACAACAACAAUUACAACAAUAACAACAAAAACAACAACAAUAACAAUAACAAUAACAAUAACAACAACAACAACAACAAUAAUAACAACAACAACAACAACAAUAACAACAACAACAACAAUAACAACAACAACAACAACAACAACCACAGCUACAACAACGAGGACGAUGGCUACGUUGACAGCGUCAACAAUGACG